RNAcentral lists this ribosomal RNA (508 nucleotides) under uncultured bacterium. Its description in RNAcentral is "partial 16S ribosomal RNA". It matches the Rfam family "Bacterial small subunit ribosomal RNA", at positions 28 to 523 of the family's 1533-position model. The record is from RNAcentral.
GAUGAACGCUAGCUACAGGCUUAACACAUGCAAGUCGAGGGGAAACGACAUCGAAAGCUUGCUUUUGAUGGGCGUCGACCGGCGCACGGGUGAGUAACGCGUAUCCAACCUGCCCACCACUUGGGGAUAACCUUGCGAAAGUAAGACUAAUACCCAAUGACGUCUCUAGAAGACAUCUGAAAGAGAUUAAAGAUUUAUCGGUGAUGGAUGGGGAUGCGUCUGAUUAGCUUGUUGGCGGGGUAACAGCCCACCAAGGCGACGAUCAGUAGGGGUUCUGAGAGGAAGGUCCCCCACAUUGGAACUGAGACACGGUCCAAACUCCUACGGGAGGCAGCAGUGAGGAAUAUUGGUCAAUGGGCGAGAGCCUGAACCAGCCAAGUAGCGUGCAGGAUGACGGCCCUAAGGGUUGUAAACUGCUUUUAUAAGGGAAUAAAGUGAGCCUCGUGAGGCUUUUUGCAUGUACCUUAUGAAUAAGGACCGGCUAAUUCCGUGCCAGCCGCCGCGGUAA